UACGUAGGGGGGCGAGCGUUGUCCGGAUUUAUUGGGCGUAAAGGGCUCGUAGGCGGUUUGUCGCGUCGGCCGUGAAAACCUGCAGCUUAACUGUGGGCGUGCGGGCGAUACGGGCAGACUGGAGUACUGCAGGGGAGACUGGAAUUCCUGGUGUAGCGGUGGAAUGCGCAGAUAUCAGGAGGAACACCGGUGGCGAAGGCGGGUCUCUGGGCAGUAACUGACGCUGAGGAGCGAAAGCGUGGGGAGCGAACAGG
This 254-nucleotide ribosomal RNA is filed under the name uncultured bacterium. Its description in RNAcentral is "partial 16S ribosomal RNA". It matches the Rfam family "Bacterial small subunit ribosomal RNA", at positions 524 to 776 of the family's 1533-position model. The record is from RNAcentral.